CCAAGGAGUCUAACAUGUGCGCGAGUCAUUGGGGAUCUCUCGAGACCCACAGGCGCAAUGAAAGUGAAGGUAGGGGCCUGCCCCCACCGAGGCGGGAUCUGUCCGGGGGGUAACCCCCGGCAGCGCACCGCCGGCCCGUCGCAACCGCUACGCCGGUGCGGCGGAGCAAGAGCGUACACGUUGGGACCCGAAAGAUGGUGAUCUAUGCCUGGGCAGGACGAAGCCAGAGGAAACUCUGGUGGAGGUCCGUAGCGAUUCUGACGUGCAAAUCGAUCGUCGGACCUGGGUAUAGGGGCGAAAGACUAAUCGAACCGUCUA
RNAcentral lists this ribosomal RNA (318 nucleotides) under Paralamyctes weberi. RNAcentral describes it as "eukaryotic LSU rRNA". It matches the Rfam family "Eukaryotic large subunit ribosomal RNA", at positions 666 to 946 of the family's 3401-position model. Lineage: Eukaryota; Metazoa; Arthropoda; Chilopoda; Lithobiomorpha; Henicopidae. The record is from RNAcentral.